UACGUAGGGGGGCAAGCGUUGUCCGGAUUUAUUGGGCGUAAAGAGCGUGUAGGCGGUUUGGUAGGUCCGCUGUGAAAACUCGAGGCUCAACCUCGAGACGUCGGUUGAAACCGUCUGGCUAGAGUCCGGAAGAGGAGAGUGGAAUUCCCGGUGUAGCGGUGAAAUGCGCAGAUAUCGGGAAGAACACCCGUGGCGAAGGCGGCUCUCUGGGACGGUACUGACGCGUGAGACGCG
This 234-nucleotide ribosomal RNA is filed under the name uncultured bacterium. RNAcentral's name for it is "partial 16S ribosomal RNA". It matches the Rfam family "Bacterial small subunit ribosomal RNA", at positions 524 to 755 of the family's 1533-position model. The record is from RNAcentral.